UACGGAGGGUGCGAGCGUUGUCCGGAAUCACUGGGCGUAAAGGGCGCGUAGGCGGCGCGACAAGUCAACGGUGAAAGCCUGGGGCUCAACCCCGGGUCGGCCGUCGAUACUGUUGGGCUUGAGCACUGUAGAGGCAGGUGGAAUUCCGGGUGUAGCGGUGGAAUGCGUAGAGAUCCGGAAGAACACCGGUGGCGAAGGCGGCCUGCUGGGCAGUAGCUGACGCUGAGGCGCGACAGCGUGGGGAGCAAACAGG
Molecule: ribosomal RNA, 253 nt
Filed under: uncultured bacterium
Lineage: Bacteria
Description: partial 16S ribosomal RNA
Rfam family: Bacterial small subunit ribosomal RNA
Source: RNAcentral